GCUACUACCGAUUCCGGGUGAUCAGGUGAAUUAUUUGGACCUGUAUAGGAGAGAUUCGUUAACACUAUCACCUAGAGGAUGUAAAAGUCGUAACAAGGUUUCU
Molecule: ribosomal RNA, 103 nt
Filed under: Trachelophyllidae sp.
Lineage: Eukaryota; Ciliophora; Litostomatea; Haptorida; Trachelophyllidae
Description: partial small subunit ribosomal RNA
Source: RNAcentral